RNAcentral lists this transfer RNA (77 nucleotides) under Lentimicrobiaceae bacterium. RNAcentral describes it as "tRNA-Arg". It matches the Rfam family "tRNA". Rfam says of the family: Transfer RNA (tRNA) molecules are approximately 80 nucleotides in length. Lineage: Bacteria; Pseudomonadati; Bacteroidota; Bacteroidia; Bacteroidales; Lentimicrobiaceae. The record is from RNAcentral.
GGACUGGUAGCUCAAUUGGAUAGAGCUCCUGACUACGGAUCAGAAGGUUGUGGGUUCGACUCCCGCCCAGUUCACCA